Molecule: long non-coding RNA, 633 nt
Filed under: Elaeis guineensis (African oil palm)
Lineage: Eukaryota; Viridiplantae; Streptophyta; Magnoliopsida; Arecales; Arecaceae
Description: long non-coding RNA (EGUI_LNC080139)
Source: RNAcentral
GUUUACGUUGCCGUUUCUAAUGAUAUCUCAAGUCUUCUCCUGAAGUUCAUGCGAUGUCACUUGGGUUCCAUUUCUUCUCUCAUCCAAUAAAAUAAAAAUAAAAGGAAGGUGGUCUCACAUACACACACACACACACACACACACACACACAGAGAGAGAGAGUGCUGCUACUUAUGUAACCUAAGCUCUGCCCGCAUGAAUUCCAGACCAUAAGCUAGUCGAAUCGGCAGUCAACUUGGCUAUCAAGUAUCAGGAAACUUGCAAUGCUUUCCCUCGCGUUUUUUUCAAUAGCGCUAAGAAAGCGAGCCCUAAAGAGCUGUCAACUUUGUCAUCCAAAAGACCAAGAAAUGGUUUGGAGAGCAAUAAGUUUGGUCAGGGUAUCUGCUGGAAUGAGUAGGAUGAUAUUUUUUUUUUUGUGGAUACAUGCAGGCGGUCACAUCAUUUUGGUGUGAGAGCAGUUCAAAAAGUCAGAAUACAAAAAUUUCUACAAGAUCGAUGGGAUAUUGUCAUCUUGUCGCUAAGUCCAGUCUCCAAAGUGCUCAGCAACAAACGAUGCGAUCCAAUCUGUCGCGCUGUUCACCUUCCGAUAAACAUGCCACACUACCACUGUAGCUAAGAAGCAAAGCAUAGUCC